GUUGAACGCUGGCGGCAGGCCUAAUACAUGCAAGUCGAACGAGUGGAGGACGGGCGAGUAAUGUCUGGGAAACUGCCUAAUCGACGCAGCUGACUGCGGGAAAAGGUAGCUAAUACCGCAUACGACCCUAUGUGCCCAGAUGGGAUUAGCUAGUAGGUGGGGUAAAGGCUGACCUAGGCGACGAUCCCUAGCUGGCCUGAGAGGCUGACCAGCCACACUGGAACUGAGACACGGCCCAGACUCCUACGGGAGGCAGCAGUGGGGAAUAUUGGACAAUGGGCGAAAGCCUGAUGCAGCCACGCCGCGUGUGUGAAGAAGGUCUUCGGGUUGUAAAGUACUUUCAGCGGGGAGGCGUUACCUGCAGAAGAAGCACCGGCUAACUCCGUGCCAGCAGCCGCGGUAAUAC
This 406-nucleotide ribosomal RNA is filed under the name uncultured bacterium. RNAcentral's name for it is "partial 16S ribosomal RNA". It matches the Rfam family "Bacterial small subunit ribosomal RNA", at positions 28 to 526 of the family's 1533-position model. The record is from RNAcentral.